CUCUAGCCCUGGGUGCAGCGGCAUCCUUUUUUGCUGGGGUUCAGCAAAAAAGAUACAGCGAAAAACAGGAACCUUG
RNAcentral lists this small RNA (76 nucleotides) under Flavobacterium sp. TAB 87. RNAcentral's name for it is "Flavo-1 RNA". It matches the Rfam family "Flavo-1 RNA". Lineage: Bacteria; Pseudomonadati; Bacteroidota; Flavobacteriia; Flavobacteriales; Flavobacteriaceae. The record is from Rfam by way of RNAcentral.